Molecule: non-coding RNA, 199 nt
Organism: Notechis scutatus (mainland tiger snake)
Lineage: Eukaryota; Metazoa; Chordata; Lepidosauria; Squamata; Elapidae
Source: RefSeq, a predicted model, not a curated record
AUUAUCAUUGGAAAUCAAAUGUGAUAAGACUUGUAUUAAUUUGAAACCACACUGAGGAUAUUUCUCCCAUAAGACCUCCCAGAAACAAUUAAGCACAUUACUUAGCUGUCUUUUUUAUGUGGGUGGGUCAUUUCCAAAUACAGCACUGGACUAUAUCUCCCCUGUAAUUUUCAUUUUCUAAGAAUGUUCUGUAUACAUA